GGGGAUGUGGCGGAACUGGCAGACGCGCUAGCUUCAGGAGCUAGUAGUAGCAAUACUGUGAGAGUUCGAAUCUCUCCAUCCCCA
RNAcentral lists this transfer RNA (84 nucleotides) under Candidatus Moranbacteria bacterium RIFOXYA1_FULL_44_7. RNAcentral's name for it is "tRNA-Leu". It matches the Rfam family "tRNA". Rfam says of the family: Transfer RNA (tRNA) molecules are approximately 80 nucleotides in length. Their secondary structure includes four short double-helical elements and three loops (D, anti-codon, and T loops). Further hydrogen bonds mediate the characteristic L-shaped molecular structure. tRNAs have two regions of fundamental functional importance: the anti-codon, which is responsible for specific mRNA codon recognition, and the 3' end, to which the tRNAs corresponding amino acid is attached (by aminoacyl-tRNA synthetases). tRNAs cope with the degeneracy of the genetic code in two manners: having more than one tRNA (with a specific anti-codon) for a particular amino acid; and 'wobble' base-pairing, i.e. permitting non-standard base-pairing at the 3rd anti-codon position. The record is from RNAcentral. Lineage: Bacteria; Candidatus Moraniibacteriota. RNAcentral also lists the same sequence under 4 other names.